Molecule: ribosomal RNA, 639 nt
Filed under: uncultured bacterium
Lineage: Bacteria
Description: bacterial SSU rRNA
Rfam family: Bacterial small subunit ribosomal RNA
Source: RNAcentral
AGAUUGAUGGCGAGUGGCGAACGGGUGAGUAAUACAUCGGAACGUGCCCUGUAGUGGGGGAUAACUAGUCGAAAGAUUAGCUAAUACCGCAUACGACCUGAGGGUGAAAGUGGGGGACCGCAAGGCCUCAUGCUAUAGGAGCGGCCGAUGUCUGAUUAGCUAGUUGGUGGGGUAAAGGCCCACCAAGGCGACGAUCAGUAGCUGGUCUGAGAGGACGAUCAGCCACACUGGGACUGAGACACGGCCCAGACUCCUACGGGAGGCAGCAGUGGGGAAUUUUGGACAAUGGGCGAAAGCCUGAUCCAGCAAUGCCGCGUGUGUGAAGAAGGCCUUCGGGUUGUAAAGCACUUUUGUCCGGAAAGAAAUGGCUCUGGUUAAUACCUGGGGUCGAUGACGGUACCGGAAGAAUAAGGACCGGCUAACUACGUGCCAGCAGCCGCGGUAAUACGUAGGGUCCAAGCGUUAAUCGGAAUUACUGGGCGUAAAGCGUGCGCAGGCGGUUGUGCAAGACCGAUGUGAAAUCCCCGAGCUUAACUUGGGAAUUGCAUUGGUGACUGCACGGCUAGAGUGUGUCAAAGGGGGGGUAGAAUUCCACGUGUAGCAGUGAAAUGCGUAAAGAUGUGGAGGAAUACCGAUUGG